Molecule: ribosomal RNA, 465 nt
Filed under: uncultured bacterium
Lineage: Bacteria
Description: partial 16S ribosomal RNA
Rfam family: Bacterial small subunit ribosomal RNA
Source: RNAcentral
GACGAACGCUGGCGGCGUGCUUAACACAUGCAAGUCGAACGGAAAGGCCUCUUUGGGGGUACUCGAGUGGCGAACGGGUGAGUAACACGUGAGUAACCUGCCCUUGACUUCGGGAUAACUUCAGGAAACUGGGGCUAAUACCGGAUAGGAAUCCUUGCUGCAUGGUGGGGGUUGGAAAGCUUCGGCGGUUUUGGAUGGACUCGCGGCUUAUCAGCUUGUUGGUGGGGUAGUGGCUUACCAAGGCUUUGACGGGUAGCCGGCCUGAGAGGGCGACCGGCCACAUUGGGACUGAGAUACGGCCCAGACGCCUACGGGAGGCAGCAGUGGGGAAUAUUGCACAAUGGGCGGAAGCCUGAUGCAGCAACGCCGCGUGCGGGAUGACGGCCUUCGGGUUGUAAACCGCUUUCAGCAGGGGCGAAGCUUGUGGUGACGGUACCUGCAGAAGAAGCACCGGCUAACUACGUG